AUCCAGCUGACAGACGUCCCAAAUAGGACGAAAUGCGCAUCCUGGAU
RNAcentral lists this non-coding RNA (47 nucleotides) under Trichobilharzia regenti. The record is from RNAcentral. Lineage: Eukaryota; Metazoa; Platyhelminthes; Trematoda; Strigeidida; Schistosomatidae.